This 1208-nucleotide ribosomal RNA is filed under the name Schistosoma japonicum. RNAcentral's name for it is "SSU rRNA". It matches the Rfam family "Eukaryotic small subunit ribosomal RNA", at positions 229 to 1324 of the family's 1831-position model. Lineage: Eukaryota; Metazoa; Platyhelminthes; Trematoda; Strigeidida; Schistosomatidae. The record is from RNAcentral.
GGCUUAUGCUGUGCCUGUUACAUUCUGUGAUGACUCUGGAUAACUUUACUGAUCGCAGUCGGCCUUGUGUGUCGGCGACGGAUCUUUCAAAUGUCUGCCCUAUCAAUUUGUUGGUAGGUGAUUUGCCUACCAUGAUGAUAACGGGUAACGGGGAAUCAGGGUUCGAUUCCGGAGAGGGAGCCUGAGAAAUGGCUACCACAUCCAAGGACGGCAGCAGGCGCGAAAAUUACCCACUCCCAGCACGGGGAGGUAGUGACGAAAAAUACGGAUACGGGACUCAAUUGAGGCUCCGUAAUUCGAAUGAGUACAAUUUAAAUCCUUUAACGAGGACCAAUUGGAGGGCAAGUCUGGUGCCAGCAGCCGCGGUAACUCCAGCUCCAAAAGCGUAUAUUAAAGUUGCUGCAGUUAAAAAGCUCGUAGUUGGAUCUGGGUAGUGCGAUCGCAUGCUGUUGCUUGUUCACGGUCUUGGUUACGAUCAGGGCAGUGGUCAGCUCGGCGUAGUGGUUGUGCAACCUUUCAGCCGUGUCUGUGUUUUAUUAAACAGGUGUCGAUGGGUUAAUGAGUAUUGUAUCUUAUUGACCUGUUGGCAUGCUUUCGGAUGCCUUUAAACGGGUGUCGGGGGCGGACGGCAUCUUUACUUUGAACAAAUUUGAGUGCUCAAAGCAGGCCUAUGCGCCUGAAAAUUCUUGCAUGGAAUAAUGAAAUAGGACUUCGGUUCUAUUUUGUUGGUUUUCGGAUCCGAAGUAAUGGUUAAGAGGGACAGACGGGGGCAUUUGUAUGGCGGUGUUAGAGGUGAAAUUCUGGGAUCGCCGCCAGACAAACUACAGCGAAAGCAUUUGCCAAGAAUGUUUUCAUUGAUCAGGAGCGAAAGUCAGAGUUUCGAAGACGAUCAGAUACCGUCGUAGUUCUGACCAUAAACGAUGCCAACUGACGAUCCGCGUUGGUUCUAUAAUUGACAUCGCGGGCAGUCCCCGGGAAACCUUUAAGUCUUUGGGCUCCGGGGGGAGUAUGGUUGCAAAGCUGAAACUUAAAGGAAUUGACGGAAGGGCACCACCAGGAGUGGAGCCUGCGGUUUAAUUCGACUCAACACGGGAAAACUCACCCGGCCCGGACACUGUGAGGAUUGACAGAUUGAAAGCUCUUUCUUGAUUCGGUGGUUGGUGGUGCAUGGCCGUUCUUAGUUGGUGGAGCGAUUUGUCUGGUUAAUU